This 88-nucleotide transfer RNA is filed under the name Vararia minispora EC-137. Its description in RNAcentral is "tRNA-Tyr". It matches the Rfam family "tRNA". Rfam says of the family: Transfer RNA (tRNA) molecules are approximately 80 nucleotides in length. Their secondary structure includes four short double-helical elements and three loops (D, anti-codon, and T loops). Further hydrogen bonds mediate the characteristic L-shaped molecular structure. tRNAs have two regions of fundamental functional importance: the anti-codon, which is responsible for specific mRNA codon recognition, and the 3' end, to which the tRNAs corresponding amino acid is attached (by aminoacyl-tRNA synthetases). tRNAs cope with the degeneracy of the genetic code in two manners: having more than one tRNA (with a specific anti-codon) for a particular amino acid; and 'wobble' base-pairing, i.e. permitting non-standard base-pairing at the 3rd anti-codon position. The record is from RNAcentral. Lineage: Eukaryota; Fungi; Basidiomycota; Agaricomycetes; Russulales; Lachnocladiaceae.
CCUUCGAUAGCUCAGCUGGAAGAGCGUGGGACUGUAACUGGAUAACUGUAACAUCCCAAGGUCACUGGUUCGAUCCCGGUUCGAAGGA